This 1057-nucleotide small RNA is filed under the name Pongo abelii (Sumatran orangutan). Its description in RNAcentral is "retained intron". Lineage: Eukaryota; Metazoa; Chordata; Mammalia; Primates; Hominidae. The record is from RNAcentral.
CAGGCCCCGGCCGUGGCGAAAGUGCCGACGGAGCCGGAGACCCGCUCCCAGAGACGCCGCCUCGCGAUCCCCGCGCGGGCGGGACCGGGCGGCCGGCGUCAUGACCCUGUUUCACUUCGGGAACUGCUUCGCUCUUGCCUACUUUCCCUACUUCAUCACCUACAAGUGCAGCGGCCUGUGAGUGCGGGAAGGGCGCGGGGCGGAGAGGGCGCGGAGCCCGGGCCGACCCUCACCUCCUGCUUCUCCAGGUCCGAGUACAACGCCUUCUGGAAAUGCGUCCAGGCUGGAGUCACCUACCUCUUUGUCCAACUCUGCAAGAUGCUGUUCUUGGCCACUUUCUUUCCCACCUGGGAAGGCGGCAUCUAUGACUUCAUUGGGGAGUUCAUGAAGGCCAGCGUGGAUGUGGCAGACCUGAUAGGUCUAAACCUUGUCAUGUCCCGGAAUGCCGGCAAGGGGGAGUACAAGAUCAUGGUUGCUGCCCUGGGCUGGGCCACCGCCGAGCUUAUUAUGUCCCGGUGCGUGCAACAGCCUGGAGCCCAGACCCCUGAGAAGGGACACCUGGGUUCCACGGGGGUGCUGGAGGGCAGGGGCUCAAAGCCUGGUGCUGAAGGUGUCUAGGUACUGGAGAAUCCCAUCCUUUGCCUUCCUCAGCUGCAUUCCCCUAUGGGUCGGAGCCCGGGGCAUUGAGUUUGACUGGAAGUACAUCCAGAUGAGCAUCGACUCCAACAUCAGUCUGGUCCAUUACAUCGUCGCGUCUGCUCAGGUCUGGAUGAUAACACGCUAUGAUCUGUACCACACCUUCCGGCCAGCUGUCCUCCUGCUGAUGUUCCUCAGUGUCUACAAGGCCUUCGUUAUGGAGACCUUCGUCCACCUCUGCUCCCUAGGCAGUUGGACAGCCCUACUGGCCCGAGCAGUGGUAACGGGGCUGCUGGCCCUCAGCACUUUGGCCCUGUAUGUCGCCGUUGUCAAUGUGCACUCCUAGGCUUGGUGUCUCAGACAUUGAUGUACCUUUUCCCUGCCUCGCUCCAGGUUUUAGUGAAGUAAACAGUAUUUGGAA